AGAUGACUGCUAUGCUCUCGG
This 21-nucleotide non-coding RNA is filed under the name Arabidopsis thaliana (thale cress). Lineage: Eukaryota; Viridiplantae; Streptophyta; Magnoliopsida; Brassicales; Brassicaceae. The record is from RNAcentral.